CGCACAUUGCGCCCCUUGGUAUUCCGAGGGGCAUGCCUGUUCGAGCGUCAUUGCACCACUCAAGCACUGCUUGGUAUUGGGCGUCGCCCCCGGGGCGCGCCCGGAAUUUAGUGGCGGCCCAGCGAGACUUCAAGCGUAGCAAGAUUUUACAUCCCGCUUUGGAAGCCUGUCGCUGCGCGCCGGCCAGAUAACCCAUAUCUUCAAUGGUUGACCUCGGAUCAGGUAGGGAUACCCGCUGAACUUAA
This 245-nucleotide unclassified non-coding RNA is filed under the name Rinodinella sp. RNAcentral describes it as "partial contains 5.8S ribosomal RNA, internal transcribed spacer 2, and large subunit ribosomal RNA". The record is from RNAcentral. Lineage: Eukaryota; Fungi; Ascomycota; Lecanoromycetes; Caliciales; Physciaceae.